GAUGAACGCUGGCGGCGUGCCUAAUACAUGCAAGUCGAGCGAACGGACGAGAAGCUUGCUUCUCUGAUGUUAGCGGCGGACGGGUGAGUAACACGUGGAUAACCUACCUAUAAGACUGGGAUAACUUCGGGAAACCGGAGCUAAUACCGGAUAAUAUUUUGAACCGCAUGGUUCAAAAGUGAAAGACGGUCUUGCUGUCACUUAUAGAUGGAUCCGCGCUGCAUUAGCUAGUUGGUAAGGUAACGGCUUACCAAGGCAACGAUGCAUAGCCGACCUGGGAGUGUGCUCGGCCCCCCAGAACCUGAGAAGCGGUCCGACCUCCUCCGGGGGGCCGAACAGGGAAUUCUGCCGAACGGGGCAAAAGCCUGGCGGAGCACCCCCGGGUAAGUGAUGAAGGCCUUCGGUUCGUAAACCCCUUUUUUUAGGAAAAAACAUAUGUGAAGGUACCGUUCCCCCUUUUACCGGAACCAAAGAAGAAAGCCCCGGUUACCUACCU
Molecule: ribosomal RNA, 496 nt
Filed under: uncultured bacterium
Lineage: Bacteria
Description: partial 16S ribosomal RNA
Rfam family: Bacterial small subunit ribosomal RNA
Source: RNAcentral